GUGGCGGACGGGUGAGUAACGCGUGGGUAACCUGCCUCACACGGGGGGAUAACAGUUGGAAACGGCUGCUAAUACCGCAUAAGCGCACAGUACCGCAUGGUACAGUGUGAAAAACUCCGGUGGUGUGAGAUGGACCCGCGUCUGAUUAGCUAGUUGGCAGGGCAACGGCCUACCAAGGCGACGAUCAGUAGCCGACCUGAGAGGGUGACCGGCCACAUUGGGACUGAGACACGGCCCAAACUCCUACGGGAGGCAGCAGUGGGGAAUAUUGCACAAUGGGGGAAACCCUGAUGCAGCGACGCCGCGUGAGCGAAGAAGUAUUUCGGUAUGUAAAGCUCUAUCAGCAGGGAAGAAGAAAUGACGGUACCUGACUAAGAAGCACCGGCUAAAUACGUGCCAGCAGCCGCGGUAAUACGUAUGGUGCAAGCGUUAUCCGGAUUUACUGGGUGUAAAGGGAGCGCAGGCGGAAGGCUAAGUCUGAUGUGAAAGCCCGGGGCUCAACCCCGGUACUGCAUUGGAAACUGGUCAUCUAGAGUGUCGGAGGGGUAAGUGGAAUUCCUAGUGUAGCGGUGAAAUGCGUAGAUAUUAGGAGGAACACCAGUGGCGAAGGCGGCUUACUGGACGAUAACUGACGCUGA
This 638-nucleotide ribosomal RNA is filed under the name uncultured bacterium. RNAcentral's name for it is "bacterial SSU rRNA". It matches the Rfam family "Bacterial small subunit ribosomal RNA", at positions 95 to 749 of the family's 1533-position model. The record is from RNAcentral.